This 325-nucleotide ribosomal RNA is filed under the name Asphondylia sarothamni. RNAcentral's name for it is "partial 16S ribosomal RNA". Lineage: Eukaryota; Metazoa; Arthropoda; Insecta; Diptera; Cecidomyiidae. The record is from RNAcentral.
AUAAACAUUAAAAAAAAUAUGAACUUUUUUUUAAAAUUAUGCUGUUAUCCCUAAGGUAAUUUAAUUUUUCUUUUUUUAAAAAAAGAUCAAUUAAAACAUAAAUUUAUGAAUUUUAUAAUAAAAGUUUAAUAAAUUUUAAAAUCUCCCCAACUAAAUUAAAAUAAAUAUAAAAUAUAUUUUUAUAUAAGUUAUUAAUAAAAUUCUAUAGGGUCUUCUCGUCUAAUUUAAUAAAUUAAGCUUUUUAACUUAAAAAUAAAUUUCAAAUUUUAAAAAUAAAAAAGUUAUUAUUUCAUUAUAUCAUUCAUUCCAGAUUCAAAUUAAAAAC